Zingiber officinale is the source of this 473-nucleotide long non-coding RNA. RefSeq lists it as uncharacterized. NCBI's taxonomy places the organism in Eukaryota, Viridiplantae, Streptophyta, Magnoliopsida, Zingiberales, Zingiberaceae. The record is from RefSeq and is a predicted model, not a curated record. The transcript is spliced from 3 exons.
CCGUCCAGGAGAUCCGAUUAGGGUUCAAUGAGGGGCAUAGAUCCGCGUCGUCUCAAGCCAAUUGAACUUCUCAUUCAUCCUCUUCAAUUCGUUUGCUGGAGAGUGAUCGGUUGCUCUUCAUCAACCGGAUUGGAGUAGGCGAUGGCACCUGGAAAGGACCAAAUCUAGGUUGUUCUUGUUCUGGAUUGGAGGAAGGCAUCGGAUCAAGGUAUUGGUAGAUUUCUCUCCUGCCGAUCACUGCUUCUCCACUUCUUGAAGCUGUGGAGGUCACGGGUGAGGAGGCAAGGGACUAUUGAGGUGAGUUUUGUAUUAUGAAUUAGGGUUUAAGCAAAUCAUUUGCUGUAUGGUUGGAUUAUGGAUUUAUUCUAGGGAGGAUAGGUGUGUGUGUGUGCUUGUAGCUUAUGGACAGGGGUCAUGGGGUUGUGAGCUACUGGAUUAGCUGCUUCAUCUUAAGGACUUGGAUUCGGGACGAG